This 431-nucleotide ribosomal RNA is filed under the name Lactiplantibacillus plantarum. RNAcentral's name for it is "bacterial SSU rRNA". It matches the Rfam family "Bacterial small subunit ribosomal RNA", at positions 340 to 757 of the family's 1533-position model. Lineage: Bacteria; Bacillati; Bacillota; Bacilli; Lactobacillales; Lactobacillaceae. The record is from RNAcentral.
UACGGGAGGCAGCAGUAGGGAAUCUUCCACAAUGGACGAAAGUCUGAUGGAGCAACGCCGCGUGAGUGAAGAAGGGUUUCGGCUCGUAAAACUCUGUUGUUAAAGAAGAACAUAUCUGAGAGUAACUGUUCAGGGUAUUGACGGUAUUUAACCAGAAAGCCACGGCUAACUACGUGCCAGCAGCCGCGGUAAUACGUAGGUGGCAAGCGUUGUCCGGGAUUUAUUGGGGCGUAAAGCGAGCGCAGGCGGUUUUUUAAGUCUGAUGUGAAAGCCUUCGGCUCAACCGAAGAAGUGCAUCGGAAACUGGGAAACUUGAGUGCAGAAGAGGACAGUGGAAACUCCAUGUGUAGCGGGGAAAUGCGUAGAUAUAUGGAAAGAACACCAGUGGCGAAGGCGGCUGUCUGGUCUGUAAACUGACGCUGAGGCUCGAA